This 497-nucleotide ribosomal RNA is filed under the name uncultured bacterium. RNAcentral's name for it is "partial 16S ribosomal RNA". It matches the Rfam family "Bacterial small subunit ribosomal RNA", at positions 28 to 507 of the family's 1533-position model. The record is from RNAcentral.
GAUGAACGCUGGCGGCGUGCCUAAUACAUGCAAGUCGAGCGAACAGACGAGGAGCUUGCUCCUCUGACGUUAGCGGCGGACGGGUGAGUAACACGUGGAUAACCAACCUAUAAGACUGGGAUAACUUCGGGAAACCGGAGCUAAUACCGGAUAAUAUAUUGAACCGCAUGGUUCAAUAGUGAAAGACGGUUUUGCUGUCACUUAUAGAUGGAUCCGCGCCGCAUUAGCUAGUUGGUAAGGUAACGGCUUACCAAGGCGACGAUGCGUAGCCGACCUGAGAGGGUGAUCGGCCACACUGGAACUGAGACACGGUCCAGACUCCUACGGGAGGCAGCAGUAGGGAAUCUUCCGCAAUGGGCGAAAGCUUGACGGAGCAACGCCGCGUGAGUGAUGAAGGUCUUCGGAUCGUAAAACUCUGUUAUUAGGGAAGAACAAAUGUGUAAGUAACUAUGCACGUCUUGACGGUACCUAAUCAGAAAGCCACGGCUAACUACGUG